CAUUUCUCUAAUAGUUCUUGCCUUUGAUAAGGCACAGGAUUGGGAUGUAUUGGCAGCGAGCAAAAAGAGGAACUGCAGACUGCAACUGGUGGAACUGCAACCAGUGUGCGGCCCCCUAUUUGAAGGAAUGGAAAGAGAAAGCCUAACUCUCCUGUUAGGUAUAGGGUCUGAUCUGCGCAGCCUGAUGGGAACCAGAGAGUUCUGGAACGCAGCUCCUUUCAUAGCCCUUGGCUCCUCUGCACGCCCCAAAUAAACACAGAUUGUCAGUAGUGGUUUCAGAUGAAUCCCCCUGCAAAUGCUGGCAUAGCAGGCUGGGGCAGCCACGAGUCUUACCCUCCAGGGAGGGAGUCCAGAGCGGGACUGCCACGCAGAGAUGUAGUUGAAGAGGGGAAGGGGUGGGGGUCUAUGAAAGCCAAUCGCAGAGUCCUGUGGUUUGGCAGUUGGCCUGGGAGCCCUGGAGCCUUCUGGGAAAAAGCCAGGAGGGGAGGACAGAGUGAGGGAGAGAGGGUGGGGGAACUGCUUCUCAAGGUUGGGCUGGCUGCUGCGCCUGUCAGGGCCAGAAUUGUCAGCUCUUUUCUGGAGUGACUUACUACAUACAGAGAGGAGGAAAAUGAACUAAGGUGCACUGGGCAAGUCACGGUCAGGAUUUCCCUCCAAUCUCACGAUAGUCCUACGAGGCAGAUUUUCAUCACCAUUUCUCAGAUGGGGAAACUGAGGCCCCACAGGAAAGUGCUACCUCCAACGGAAUUAUUCCCGUCAGUGGUUCCCAACUGGGAUGUGGUGGAGAGGUGCUUCUAAUUCCUCCUGCCGGCACAGUAAUUAUGAAAGUAGAUCAAUCUUCCUGUCUCUCAACUUCUCAACCUAGUUCCCUUCCAAGUUCUUAUCAUAUGAAGUCAACACAACAAUAUUAGUAAUAUGAACAAUGCAUAUUCACAUGCAAAAUCGGUGAAGUCCAGUGGUACCAUGGAGCAUGUGCAGGAGCAGAGGAGAUAGCUACAAUAAAAAUGUUUACUGCCAUUUCUUGCUGUCCAUUUGUGUAUAGUGUUCAUAAAAUUCCAUGAGCACAGGAUUCUGAUGAAUCUACAAUGCAUGGGAGCUCAGAGGGGACUCAAAUCAAGUACAAUAAAGCAUUUCCAUUUUGCCUGGCUCUGGGAACAAAGCCAAUGUCUGCUUUAGAGGAACAGAGAUUUCCACAUGGUGAAUGGAAAAAAGGACACAGAUCCAGGAUUCAGAAAGGAAAUGAGGACAGAGACUGACACUCUCUAAAUACACAAAGGCAGAAGACAUUUUCUCAGUUUUCUAGAGUGUGCCAUGAAGAAAAUUUCUCAAGAUGAAAUGUAAAUGAUGUGUAUUUUUAAAUCCCUGAUGUAUCUGAAAAAAACAACUGAUUGUGUAUGACAUCCUCACACUUCAACCGUUUUGUACAAACUGUGAACUUAGGCCUAGUGUGAUCCGGCUUUAAAGCAUUAAAGAUAAUUUUGCUGUGGACAUCAAUAAAGCCUUAUGUUUUGUUUCGUU
This is a long non-coding RNA of Macaca mulatta (Rhesus monkey), 1518 nucleotides long. RefSeq lists it as uncharacterized. The record is from RefSeq and is a predicted model, not a curated record. NCBI's taxonomy places the organism in Eukaryota, Metazoa, Chordata, Mammalia, Primates, Cercopithecidae.